CGCUCUUCUUGGUCUAUGUGAAUAUUAAACAAAGGAAGCAGAUGGAUUCAUGACAAAAUUGUGUUUUGGUGAUGGUGAUGUGUUUGUACAUCUUACAUUACUAAACAGUCUUGCUGCUCACAAUUAUCUCCAUCUGUAAUGAACUUGGCCCAGUAGUUUCAGUGGAAAAUGUUAAUAAAAAUUUACAAAUUUUAUGAAAAUUGUUAAAAAUUGACUAAAAAGGACAAUAACUCCUUAGGGGGUCAAUUGACCAUUUC
RNAcentral lists this long non-coding RNA (257 nucleotides) under Mytilus galloprovincialis (Mediterranean mussel). The record is from RNAcentral. Lineage: Eukaryota; Metazoa; Mollusca; Bivalvia; Mytilida; Mytilidae.